AAUAAGUAUAGUUUUACACUAUUCAUAUCCAACAUUUGACUGUUCGUCUUAUUUAAAAAAUUCAAUGAUUAGUAUAUUUAUUAUUAUUAGAUGAUAAAACAUGAAUAUUACUUUAUGAGUGACUAACUUUUUUAAAAAAAAAUUUCAUAAAUUUUUUAAAUAAGAUGGAUUGUCAAACGUUGGACAUGAAUUUUUACGGGUGCACUUAUU
Non-coding RNA from Oryza meridionalis, 210 nucleotides. Lineage: Eukaryota; Viridiplantae; Streptophyta; Magnoliopsida; Poales; Poaceae. The record is from Rfam.